Long non-coding RNA from Fundulus heteroclitus (mummichog), 662 nucleotides. RefSeq lists it as uncharacterized. The transcript is spliced from 4 exons. Lineage: Eukaryota; Metazoa; Chordata; Actinopteri; Cyprinodontiformes; Fundulidae. The record is from RefSeq and is a predicted model, not a curated record.
CCGGGGCCUCGGUAAAACUUAGUAUACCGCUGGAAGUCACGACUCUCUCGGUAAACGCAUCCUCUCAGUACCAGAAAUGUAUAAAGAUGCUCAUUCGGUGCAAGGUAGUCAUCACUCGAGAUCAUGCAAGAAACCUCUUCAGCUUCGCUCCUCACUAACGCUCUGAUCCACCCCGAGGGUCAGAACGCAAGCUCCAACCCACAACAUGGCAUACGCUUCUUUGACCUCACAGGUGUGGAGCAAGAAAAUGUACUUUUAACACCGUUGAACUACGGUUUUUUUGAUGGGAACGUUCUAUAAGAUAAUGAAGGAGUCCUCAGAAGAACUUGAAGUGAAGCACACCUCCCUCAGUCCGGGAAAAGUUACAGAAAUCAUCUUUUUCUUUCGCCCGACGGCUGCAAAAUCCUUUUUGCAAAAUUAAGAUUGGUUUGCUUUUCUACAUUGAAACGUUUUACAACAUUUUUCUUUUAAAUGUGCAUACUGUUUGUUUUCAAAGGCUAUUUCUACCACAAAAUCCAAGAAUGGAACCCUUCCCAUGAUUACUGGCUCUUCUACAACCUAAUCGACGGCAAAAUAUUUACUAAUGUUUAUCGGAGUAUUGUUUUUUUAAAACAAUGAUUUUAUUCUUGUGUUUUUGCCCCCAAAAAACAGCAAGCGGUCUA